AAGGAAUAUUGGUCAAUGGACGAAAGUCUGAACCAGCCAUGCCGCGUGAAGGAUUAAGGCCCUCUGGGUUGUAAACUUCUUUUAUCUGGGACGAAAAAAGGGUAUUCUUACUCACUUGACGGUACCAGAGGAAUAAGCACCGGCUAACUCCGUGCCAGCAGCCGCGGUAAUACGGAGGGUGCAAGCGUUAUCCGGAUUCACUGGGUUUAAAGGGUGCGUAGGUGGAUAUUUAAGUCAGUGGUGAAAUCUCCGAGCUUAACUCGGAAACUGCCAUUGAUACUAUUUAUCUUGAAUGCCCUGGAGGUAAGCGGAAUAUGUCAUGUAGCGGUGAAAUGCUUAGAUAUGACAUAGAACACCAAUUGCGAAGGCAGCUUACUACGGGGUGAUUGACACUGAGGCACGAAAGCGUGGGGAUCAAAC
This 420-nucleotide ribosomal RNA is filed under the name uncultured bacterium. RNAcentral describes it as "bacterial SSU rRNA". It matches the Rfam family "Bacterial small subunit ribosomal RNA", at positions 356 to 773 of the family's 1533-position model. The record is from RNAcentral.